Molecule: ribosomal RNA, 254 nt
Filed under: uncultured bacterium
Lineage: Bacteria
Description: partial 16S ribosomal RNA
Rfam family: Bacterial small subunit ribosomal RNA
Source: RNAcentral
UACAGAGGGUGCAAGCGUUGUUCGGAAUUACUGGGCGUAAAGCGCGUGUAGGCUGCAGCGUAAGUCAGACGUGAAAUCCCCAGGCUCAACCUGGGAACUGCGUCUGAUACUGGAUGGCUUGAAUCCGGGAGAGGGAUGCAGAAUUCCAGGUGUAGCGGUGAAAUGCGUAGAUAUCUGGAGGAAUACCGGUGGCGAAGGCGCUCUGCUGGACCAUAACUGACACUCACAGGACGAAAGCUAGGGGAGCGAAUGGG